UUCCGGUUGAUCCUGCCGGAGGUUACUGCUAUCGGUGUUCGACUAAGCCAUGCAAGUCAUAUGUUCCUCGUGAACAUGGCAUACUGCUCAGUAACACGUGGAUAACCUGCCCUUGGGCCUGGGAUAACCCCGGGAAACUGGGGAUAAUACCGGAUGACGCAUAUGCGCUGGAAUGCUUUAUGCGUAAAACGGAUUCGUCCGCCCAAGGAUGGGUCUGCGGCCUAUCAGGUAGUAGUGGGUGUAAUGUACCUACUAGCCAACAACGGGUACGGGUUGUGAGAGCAAGAGCCCGGAGAUGGAUUCUGAGACAUGAAUCCAGGCCCUACGGGGCGCAGCAGGCGCGAAAACUUUACAAUGCGGGAAACCGUGAUAAGGGAACACCGAGUGCCAGCAUCAUAUGCUGGCUGUCCAGAUGUGUAAACUACAUCUGUUAGCAAGGGCCGGGCAAGACCGGUGCCAGCCGCCGCGGUAACACCGGCGGCCCGAGUGGUGACCGUUAUUAUUGGGUCUAAAGGGUCCGUAGCCGGUUUGGUCAGUCCUCCGGGAAAUCUGAUAGCUUAACUGUUAGGCUUUCGGGGGAUACUGCCAGGCUUGGAACCGGGAGAGGUAAGAGGUACUACAGGGGUAGGAGUGAAAUCUUGUAAUCCCUGUGAGACCACCUGUGGCGAAGGCGUCUUACCAG
RNAcentral lists this ribosomal RNA (682 nucleotides) under uncultured archaeon. Its description in RNAcentral is "bacterial SSU rRNA". It matches the Rfam family "Archaeal small subunit ribosomal RNA", at positions 1 to 683 of the family's 1478-position model. The record is from RNAcentral.